This 553-nucleotide ribosomal RNA is filed under the name uncultured bacterium. RNAcentral's name for it is "bacterial SSU rRNA". It matches the Rfam family "Bacterial small subunit ribosomal RNA", at positions 334 to 902 of the family's 1533-position model. The record is from RNAcentral.
GCUUCCUACGGGAGGCAGCAGGGAGGAAUAUUGGGCAAUGGGGGAAACCCUGACCCAGCAACGCCGCGUGAAGGAAGAAGGCCUUCGGGUUGUAAACUUCUGUGACAGGGGAAGAAAGAAAUGACGGUACCCUGAGAGGAAGCCACGGCAAACUACGUGCCAGCAGCCGCGGUAAUACGUAGGUGGCGAGCGUUGUCCGGAAUCACUGGGCGUAAAGGGCGCGUAGGCGGUUAUUCAAGUCACAUGUGAAAUACCAGGGCUCAACCUUGGGGGGUCAUGUGAAACUGGAUGACUUGAGUGCAGUAGAGGAAAGCGGAAUUCCUGGUGUAGCGGUAAAAUGCGUAGAGAUCAGGAGGAACACCGGUGGCGAAGGCGGCUUUCUGGGCUGUAACUGACGCUGAGGCGCGAAAGCGUGGGGAGCAAACAGGAUUAGAUACCCUGGUAGUCCACGCUGUAAACGAUGAUUACUAGGUGUAGGGGACGCAGGUCUUCUGUGCCGGAGCAAACGCAAUAAGUAAUCCGCCUGGGGAGUACGGCCGCAAGGUUGAAACUC